AUGGCACUAGAACUUGCUGCUGCUUGCUCUCAGCAAAAUGUUUCUAUGGUGGCCCCCUCUCAAGAUGAAUAUGGUCUUGAUCCUAUUGAUCAUGAAUCUGACUACGAUCAAACUCUGAAGGUGAUGGGAGAGGUGGAAGAAAACAUGAAGAUAUCCAAGGAUUACAUGGUACAACUUCCUCAUCCUCAUUGCGAGGAGAUUAUUCCUACACCACCACUUGCCCCUGAGCUUCCAGCGCAAUACUCAUCUUCAGCACAUGUAUAUGGAGGCGAGGGCCGCAUAUCUGGUCAAUGUCAAAAAUCUGAAAGGUCUACAGGCGGGCGACGACGUCACGCAACUUCGAGCAGGUGCUGA
RNAcentral lists this ribosomal RNA (354 nucleotides) under Triticum aestivum (bread wheat). RNAcentral's name for it is "partial small subunit ribosomal RNA". Lineage: Eukaryota; Viridiplantae; Streptophyta; Magnoliopsida; Poales; Poaceae. The record is from RNAcentral.